RNAcentral lists this ribosomal RNA (425 nucleotides) under uncultured bacterium. RNAcentral's name for it is "bacterial SSU rRNA". It matches the Rfam family "Bacterial small subunit ribosomal RNA", at positions 354 to 796 of the family's 1533-position model. The record is from RNAcentral.
GUAAGGAAUAUUGGACAAUGGGGGAAACCCUGAUCCAGCCAUGCCGCGUGAGUGAAGAAGGCCUUCGGGUUGUAAAGCUCUUUCAGAUGUGAAGAUGAUGACGGUAACAUCAGAAGAAGCUCCGGCUAACUUCGUGCCAGCAGCCGCGGUAAUACGAAGGGAGCGAGCGUUGUUCGGAAUCACUGGGCGUAAAGAGUGCGUAGGCGGUUAUACAAGUCAGGAGUGAAAUCCCAGGGCUCAACCCUGGAAUUGCUUUUGAAACUGUAUAGCUAGAGUCCCGGAGGGGUUAAUGGAAUUCCGAGUGUAGAGGUGAAAUUCGCAGAUAUUCGGAGGAACACCAGUGGCGAAGGCGAUUAACUGGACGGGCACUGACGCUGAGGCACGAAAGCGUGGGGAUCAAACAGGAUUAGAUACCCUAGUAGUCC